UACGUAGGUGGCAAGCGUUGUCCGGAUUUAUUGGGUUUAAAGGGUGCGUAGGCGGUCAUGUAAGUCAGCGGUGAAAUCCGGCAGCUCAACUGUCGAUGUGCCAUUGAUACUGCAUGACUUGAGUACUGAUGAGGUAGGCGGAAUUGACGGUGUAGCGGUGAAAUGCUUAGAUAUCGUCAAGAACACCGAUAGCGAAGGCAGCUUACUAAGCAGUAACUGACGCUGAGGCACGAAAGUGUGGGGAUCAAACAGG
RNAcentral lists this ribosomal RNA (253 nucleotides) under uncultured bacterium. Its description in RNAcentral is "partial 16S ribosomal RNA". It matches the Rfam family "Bacterial small subunit ribosomal RNA", at positions 524 to 776 of the family's 1533-position model. The record is from RNAcentral.